RNAcentral lists this ribosomal RNA (586 nucleotides) under Gymnodinium microreticulatum. Its description in RNAcentral is "LSU rRNA". It matches the Rfam family "Eukaryotic large subunit ribosomal RNA", at positions 351 to 868 of the family's 3401-position model. The record is from RNAcentral. Lineage: Eukaryota; Dinophyceae; Gymnodiniales; Gymnodiniaceae.
CCAUGAGGGAAAGAUGAAAAGGACUUUGAAAAGAGAGUUAAAAGUGCCUGAACUUGCUGAAACGAAAGCGGAUGGAACCAGUCUGCUUGGUGAGAUUGUCGCGUGCUGCAUUGAUUGUCUGCUUGCUCAGCGUAAGCGUGCUUGUAGUCUUUGACGUGUUCGCGCGUGAUGUUUCUUGCCUUGUCAGUCACUGUCAGUUGGCAGGCGAGGAUAACUCUUGGGACAUGGUAGCCUGCUUGCGGGUGGGUGAAUGUGCCUUGUAGGACUCGCUUGUGUACUGCAUUCUUUUGUUUGGCUGCGCUGCUGUGCUUUGCUGUCCUCGUGGCUCUCAGCACUGGCACCUCCCUUACAAUCCAUGGUGACGAAAUGGUUCUAUUCGACCCGUCUUGAAACACGGACCAAGGAGUCUAACAUAUGUGCAAGUUCAUGGGCGUUAAACCUAUGUGCGUAAUGAAAGUAAGUGCUGAGAUAUUUGCAUCAGCAGCCGACCAAUCAAUUGGGAGAGGUUUGAGCAUGAGCAUAUCUGUUAGGACCCGAAAGAUGGUGAACUAUGCCUGAGAAGGGUGAAGUCUGGGGAAACUCAGAU